AUUGAACGCUGGCGGCAGGCCUAACACAUGCAAGUCGAACGAGUGGCGGACGGGUGGGUAAUGUCUGGGAAACUGCCUGAUGUAGGGGGAUACCUACUGGAAACGUUAGCUAAUACCGCAUACCAUCAUAUUGGGCCAGAAGGGAUUAGCUUGUUGGUGUGGUAACGGCUCACCAAGGCGACGAUCCCUAGCCAUGCUGAGAGGAUGACCGGCCACACUGGAACUGAGACACGGUCCAGACUCCUACGGGAGGCAGCAGUGGGGAAUAUUGCACAAUGGGCGAAAGCCUGAUGCAGCCAUGCCGCGUGUAUGAAGAAGGCCUUCGGGUUGUAAAGUACUUUCAGCGGGGAGGCGUUACCCGCAUAAGAAGCACCGGCUAACUCCGUGCCAGCAGCCGCGGUAAUAC
Molecule: ribosomal RNA, 406 nt
Filed under: uncultured bacterium
Lineage: Bacteria
Description: partial 16S ribosomal RNA
Rfam family: Bacterial small subunit ribosomal RNA
Source: RNAcentral